UGCAAGUGUUCAAGAGUUCCUGGUGUUCUCUUUAUGCUUAUGGACUCUUAUGUUGAUCUAGAGUACAAAAAAUACAGAGAUCGAUCAUCAAUACUUGGAGAUGCAAUAUAUUAUCUCAACGAACUUUUACAAAGGAUCAAUGAUCUUCACAACGAACUUGAGUCAACUCCACUUGGAUCUUUGCCUCAAACUUCAACAAGCUUCCAUCCAUUAACACCUACACCUGAUACUCGUUAUUGCCGUGCGAAGAAAGAGUUAUGUCCCUCAUCUUAGCCAAGGCCUAAAGGCCAACAAGCAAGAGUUUGAGGUUAGACUAAGAGAAGGAAGAACAAUGAAAAUUCGUGUGAUUUGUUGUCAUAGACCUGGUUAUAUGCCAGCAACUGUGAAAACCUGAAUAAUCUUGGAUUUGGAUGUUCAGCAAGCGGUGAUUAGCUGUUCAAACUGGUUUGCCAAGCUGAGGUUUCAAAUCAUUGAAAAAAAUCCAAGCGCCAUGGAAGUCAAAUUGUCUUCUUGGAGGCUACAGUCCUCGCCAUAGAGAGCCUUCUUACAGGUCAGUUAAUCUCAUGUUUCAACUAACUAAACCUGAGAAGUAUGCUUAGAACAAUGAUAAUAACAUACUCACCUCUAAUUAGUAUAUAAUUUUUUCUUUUCUUUUUGGAACAACACAUAGCAACUUUGUUCAUAUUAUAUAGCUUCUGUUAGAACUGAAUAUGAAAGUGAAGACAGUGUAAAUGAUGUUCAAACGUCGAGCAGAAGAUCCAGACCAUGAAAUCUAACAAGGCCGUAAAGCCAGACUAGCCUCCACCAUUUGUCAAGGAAUUUGUGUCUAGAAAGAGGAGAGAAGCCAGCAACAAAGGAAGAAGAAGAAUAAGAAUAAGAGAAGCUACCUAAGUUAACCAAAGAAAAAGAAGAGUUGAUUAAGAAAGAAGAGGAGAAGAGAAAACAAAACACUAUGCAGAGAUGAAGUAGCAGCAUCAGUUGGAGGAGGAGAUAGCAAAAGCGAAA
Brassica oleracea var. oleracea is the source of this 1005-nucleotide long non-coding RNA. RefSeq lists it as uncharacterized. The record is from RefSeq and is a predicted model, not a curated record. Lineage: Eukaryota; Viridiplantae; Streptophyta; Magnoliopsida; Brassicales; Brassicaceae. The transcript is spliced from 4 exons.